GUCGAAGUGGCGAAAUGAUGAGACGCACAAGGUUCAAACCCGCCUUGUGAGAACGAGACUCGUGCGGGUGAAAAUCCCGCCUUCGACACCA
Molecule: transfer RNA, 91 nt
Filed under: Acidobacteriota bacterium
Lineage: Bacteria; Pseudomonadati; Acidobacteriota
Also listed under: 1 other name
Description: Acidobacteria bacterium (soil metagenome) tRNA-Leu
Rfam family: tRNA
About the family: Transfer RNA (tRNA) molecules are approximately 80 nucleotides in length. Their secondary structure includes four short double-helical elements and three loops (D, anti-codon, and T loops).
Source: RNAcentral